This is a non-coding RNA of Xyrichtys novacula (pearly razorfish), 299 nucleotides long. Lineage: Eukaryota; Metazoa; Chordata; Actinopteri; Labriformes; Labridae. The record is from the annotation of a GenBank genome assembly.
AGAAUAUUGACUAUUUUUUUCCUUGCUUAAAUUUUACCUAAUCGAGUCUGCAUUAGUCAGCCAUGAUUUUCCCAGUGUUAUUUAUUAUCAGUGUUUUAUUUCAGGUGAUGUUGCUGUCGGAGAGGGAGUGAUGCGGUACUUUAUGACAACAGUAAUAUGCAAACUCCAGUUUGGGUUCAGUCUAGAUCUUGGUAAGUCCCUUAAAAUUUCGAAGGUUAAUUCAAUUUAAUUUAAAAAAUGUUUCAGAUGGUUAAUUGUUAUGCCUUUAUCACCCUUGGUACUUACAGGAGGAAUGGGCC